Molecule: ribosomal RNA, 372 nt
Filed under: uncultured bacterium
Lineage: Bacteria
Description: bacterial SSU rRNA
Rfam family: Bacterial small subunit ribosomal RNA
Source: RNAcentral
GAACCGAGCGAACGUUGUUCGGAAUCACUGGGCUUAAAGGGCGCGUAGGCGGGUGCUCAAGUCCGGGGUGAAAUCCUCCAGCUCAACUGGAGAACUGCCUCGGAUACUGGGUGUCUCGAGGGUGGUAGGGGUCUGCGGAACUAUCGGUGGAGCGGUGAAAUGCGUUGAUAUCGAUAGGAACUCCGGUGGCGAAGGCGGCAGGCUGGACCACUUCUGACGCUGAUGCGCGAAAGCCAGGGGAGCAAACGGGAUUAGAUACCCCGGUAGUCCUGGCCCUAAACGAUGGGUACUAGCUAGUAGGGUUCACAUGGCUUUACUGGCGAAGCAAAAGUGCUAAGUACCCCGCCUGGGGAGUAUGGUCGCAAGGCUGAA